AGAGUUUGAUCCUGGCUCAGGACGAACGCUGGCGGCGCGCCUAACACAUGCAAGUCGAACGGAGUAUAUGAGACAGAACUCUUCGGAGGGACGACGCAUAUACUGAGUGGCGGACGGGUGAGUAACACGUGAGCAACCUGCCUUUCAGAGGGGGAUAACGUCUGGAAACGGACGCUAAUACCGCAUAACGUACAGAGGUCGCAUGGCCUAAGUACCAAAGGAGCAAUCCGCUGAGAGAUGGGCUCGCGUCUGAUUAGCUAGUUGGUGAGGUAAAGGCUCACCAAGGCGACGAUCAGUAGCCGGACUGAGAGGUUGAACGGCCACAUUGGGACUGAGACACGGCCCAGACUCCUACGGGAGGCAGCAGUGGGGGAUAUUGCACAAUGGGGGAAACCCUGAUGCAGCGACGCCGCGUGAGGGAAGAAGGUUUUCGGAUUGUAAACCUCUGUCCUCAGGGACGAUAAUGACGGUACCUGAGGAGGAAGCCACGGCUAACUACGUGCCAGCAGCCGCGGUAAUACGUAGGUGGCAAGCGUUGUCCGGAAUUACUGGGUGUAAAGGGAGCGUAGGCGGAAUGGCAAGUUGGAUGUUUAAUCUACCGGCUUAACUGGUAAUCGCAUUCAAAACUGUCAUCCUUGAGUGAAGUAGAGGCAGGCGGAAUUCCUAGUGUAGCGGUGAAAUGCGUAGAUAUUAGGAGGAACACCAGUGGCGAAGGCGGCCUGCUGGGCUUUAACUGACGCUGAGGCUCGAAAGCGUGGUAGCAAACAGGAUUAGAUACCCUGGUAGUCCACGCUGUAACG
RNAcentral lists this ribosomal RNA (800 nucleotides) under uncultured bacterium. Its description in RNAcentral is "bacterial SSU rRNA". It matches the Rfam family "Bacterial small subunit ribosomal RNA", at positions 8 to 807 of the family's 1533-position model. The record is from RNAcentral.